RNAcentral lists this ribosomal RNA (498 nucleotides) under uncultured bacterium. Its description in RNAcentral is "partial 16S ribosomal RNA". It matches the Rfam family "Bacterial small subunit ribosomal RNA", at positions 28 to 507 of the family's 1533-position model. The record is from RNAcentral.
GACGAACGCUGGCGGCGUGCCUAAUACAUGCAAGUCGAGCGAACCAAUAAGAAGCUUGCUUUUUGUUGGUUAGCGGCGGACGGGUGAGUAACACGUGGGUAACCUGCCUGUAAGACCGGGAUAACUCCGGGAAACCGGUGCUAAUACCGGAUAGAUUAUCUUUCCGCAUGGAGAGAUAAGGAAAGAUGGCUAUUGCCAUCACUUACAGAUGGGCCCGCGGCGCAUUAGCUAGUUGGUGAGGUAACGGCUCACCAAGGCGACGAUGCGUAGCCGACCUGAGAGGGUGAUCGGCCACACUGGGACUGAGACACGGCCCAGACUCCUACGGGAGGCAGCAGUAGGGAAUCUUCCGCAAUGGACGAAAGUCUGACGGAGCAACGCCGCGUGAGCGAAGAAGGUCUUCGGAUCGUAAAGCUCUGUUGUUAGGGAGGAACAAGUAUCGGAGGAAAUGCCGGUACCUUGACGGUACCUGACGAGAAAGCCACGGCUAACUACGUG